Macaca fascicularis (crab-eating macaque) is the source of this 149-nucleotide unclassified non-coding RNA. It matches the Rfam family "Metazoan signal recognition particle RNA". Rfam says of the family: The signal recognition particle (SRP) is a universally conserved ribonucleoprotein. It is involved in the co-translational targeting of proteins to membranes. The eukaryotic SRP consists of a 300-nucleotide 7S RNA and six proteins: SRPs 72, 68, 54, 19, 14, and 9. NCBI's taxonomy places the organism in Eukaryota, Metazoa, Chordata, Mammalia, Primates, Cercopithecidae. The record is from Ensembl.
GCUAGGCAUGGUGGCACAUGCCUGUAAUCCCAACUACUUGGGAGGCUGAGACAGGAGAAUUGCUUGAACCUGGGAAGGAGGAGGUUGCAGUGAGCCGAGGUGGUGCCACUGCACUCCAUCCUGGGUGACAGAGCAAGACUCUGUCUCAA